RNAcentral lists this ribosomal RNA (468 nucleotides) under uncultured bacterium. RNAcentral's name for it is "partial 16S ribosomal RNA". It matches the Rfam family "Bacterial small subunit ribosomal RNA", at positions 28 to 507 of the family's 1533-position model. The record is from RNAcentral.
GACGAACGCUGGCGGCGUGCUUAACACAUGCAAGUCGAACGGAAAGGCCCUGCCUUUGUGGGGUGCUCGAGUGGCGAACGGGUGAGUAACACGUGAGUAACCUGCCCUUGACUUUGGGAUAACUUCAGGAAACUGGGGCUAAUACCGGAUAGGAGCUCCGGCUGCAUGGUGGGGGGUGGAAAGUUUCGGCGGUUGGGGAUGGACUCGCGGCUUAUCAGCUUGUUGGUGGGGUAGUGGAUUACCAAGGCUUUGACGGGCAGCCGGCCUGAGAGGGUGACCGGCCACAUUGGGACUGAGAUACGGCCCAGACUCCUACGGGAGGGAGCAGGGGGGAAUAUUGCACAAUGGGCGGAAGCCUGAUGCAGCAACGCCGCGUGCGGGAUGACGGCCUUCGGGUUGUAAACCGCUUUCGCCUGUGACGAAGCGUGAGUGACGGUAAUGGGUAAAGAAGCACCGGCUAACUACGUG